This 491-nucleotide ribosomal RNA is filed under the name uncultured bacterium. RNAcentral describes it as "partial 16S ribosomal RNA". It matches the Rfam family "Bacterial small subunit ribosomal RNA", at positions 29 to 506 of the family's 1533-position model. The record is from RNAcentral.
AGUGAACGCUGGCGGUAGGCCUAACACAUGCAAGUCGAACGGCAGCACAGUAAGAGCUUGCUCUUACGGGUGGCGAGUGGCGGACGGGUGAGGAAUACAUCGGAAUCUACUUUUUCGUGGGGGAUAACGUAGGGAAACUUACGCUAAUACCGCAUACGACCUACGGGUGAAAGCAGGGGAUCUUCGGACCUUGUGCGAUUGAAUGAGCCGAUGUCGGAUUAGCUAGUUGGCGGGGUAAAGGCCCACCAAGGCGACGAUCCGUAGCUGGUCUGAGAGGAUGAUCAGCCACACUGGAACUGAGACACGGUCCAGACUCCUACGGGAGGCAGCAGGGGGGAAUAUUGGACAAUGGGCGCAAGCCUGAUCCAGCCAGACCGCGUGGGUGAAGAAGGCCUUCGGGUUGUAAAGCCCUUUUGUUGGGAAAGAAAAGCAGCAGGUUAAUACCCCGCUGUUCUGACGGUACCCAAAGAAUAAGCACCGGCUAACUUCGU